AUUGACCUCGGAUCAGGUAGGAUACCCGCAU
RNAcentral lists this ribosomal RNA (31 nucleotides) under Usnea mutabilis. RNAcentral describes it as "partial 28S ribosomal RNA". Lineage: Eukaryota; Fungi; Ascomycota; Lecanoromycetes; Lecanorales; Parmeliaceae. The record is from RNAcentral.